Molecule: transfer RNA, 85 nt
Filed under: Sutterella sp.
Lineage: Bacteria; Pseudomonadati; Pseudomonadota; Betaproteobacteria; Burkholderiales; Sutterellaceae
Also listed under: 1 other name
Description: tRNA-Leu
Rfam family: tRNA
About the family: Transfer RNA (tRNA) molecules are approximately 80 nucleotides in length. Their secondary structure includes four short double-helical elements and three loops (D, anti-codon, and T loops).
Source: RNAcentral
GCCCAAGUGGCGAAAUUGGUAGACGCACUGUGUUCAGGUCGCAGCGCCGAAAGGCAUGCUGGUUCGAGUCCAGUCUUGGGCACCA